This 1600-nucleotide long non-coding RNA is filed under the name Theobroma cacao (cacao). Its description in RNAcentral is "long non-coding RNA (TCAC_LNC002394)". The record is from RNAcentral. Lineage: Eukaryota; Viridiplantae; Streptophyta; Magnoliopsida; Malvales; Malvaceae.
GUAAACAGACAUUAUCAUAAAUAUCUAAAGGCGAGUAAAAUGGAGGCAAGUUUAAACAACAAAUUUCAACCCAUUUCAUAAUGUUUUCAGUUUAUUUCUUAAACCAUAAAAUAUUUGUAAUUUAUCAAAACAAUUGUUAAGACUUAUGUCUUUUAUUAAAACAAGGCUCAAGCCAAAACUAAUCCUCGGGGAUACCUUGGCCGAGGCAUCUAACCGAGUCCACCAAGGGUGUUAAAAUAUUCACACGUGAAACACAUUUUUAUUUUUAAAACAAGCCGUCCCUUGGCGUUGGUCGAGUUACACAUUCACGUGGGGGUUCGACGUGAAGUGAGCUCUAAUACUACCCCGGGAGUUACCCUCCUCGCCUCUAUGACCGGAGUAACUAUAUAACUUGGUUUACCGUGCCCCUCUAAUAGGCAGUCCACGGAAACCCGUCACUGCAGUGACUAACCCACCAAUUUUAAUAAAAUUUUGACAGUAUAACGUGGCUUUUAUUUAUUUAUCCAGCCUGCAUAGUAAAAACAACUUACAUAAAUUUCCCAAUGCACUCACAGAAUAUAGCCACAUAUACUCAUUUCUCAUAAGCCAUUCCUAGGAAAAUAUAUAUUUUUCAAGUCAAUUUGUAGCCUCAAAUUACUCAAUUUCAUAAUCAAUACAAUAUAUUUUUAUUUAUCACAUUUAUUCCUAAAACAUCAAAAAUCUCGUUUUAAUUUCGUUCUCAUUUCAUAAAAUACAUAAAGGGCAUUUAAAAUAAACUCUAGAUAAUUUACAAUAAUAAUAAGUUUACUCACCGUUUGUACAAACUAAAAGCUUUCUAAGCGCCCCGAUCACUACUCGUCGGGUACGACUUCUUUGCCUUUUUCGGAAGGCUCUCCUCCUAGACACAUUACAAAAAUUUACACAAUUCAUCACAUUGAUGCUAAAUCACUAUAUAAUUAACUUAAAUCCUAUACUAAUGCAUGGUAUGAAAUGCAAUAGCCUAAAACGGCUUAAACGCGGUAUUAACCUAUUUUUGGCACUUUGCCCGAUAAAUUGCUAACGCGCUCCAUUUUAGCUCUAAAUCAUCCCAUUCUCUCUCCAACAUUUCUAACCAUUAAAUAUCAGCCAAUAACCUUCUAAAAACAACAAAAUCAGCUCACUCCCUUCCUUGGAAAAUUCGGCCAAAAAUGGGACAUUAACUCGGUUAAUUUUCUACUUUGUUUUUCUAUCACGUUUAAUCGUUUUUCAUCAUUUUCUCUUCAUUUUCCUUAGAAUAAAAUCAAUUCAUCAUCAUUGUACAGCAUUGAGCAUCCAGCCAAGAGUGGGUAUUGUGAAAAUUUAAUGAUUUCUUGCCCAAUUUAAUUUCUAAACACAUUUAACUAACUAAAACUAUCAAUUUAACUAAAAAUCAAAACCUAAAAAUUUCAAUUUCUCUCCCCUAGAAUUUCGUCCAGCCCUUGAUAUCACUUUUUGAUCUCUCUCCUCAAGCAUGCUAAAUGGAAAUAAAGGCAUAGGAAAGGUAGAAAUCAAGCUAAAAUCGAAAAAUCUUACCGUUAGACGCGUAAACGGUCGAAAACCGCGAAUUUCCCUUUGAAUUUUCUUGUUUCUCUUUGGUUUUUCU